Molecule: RNA transcript, 919 nt
Organism: Vigna angularis (adzuki bean)
Lineage: Eukaryota; Viridiplantae; Streptophyta; Magnoliopsida; Fabales; Fabaceae
Exons: 3
Source: RefSeq, a predicted model, not a curated record
AUUGAGGUAUAUGUAACCAAGGAAGAGAUGGCUACUGAAAUUGUUAAAGAAACCUUAGAUGGUCAUCAUAAUGCUAGAGUGAAGCAGAACUACGGAAGGAAAUCUUUAGCUGAUAUUGUUGCUGAAAAUGAAGCUCUGCGUGCUAUCAUUGGUGACCAAGAGGCAUCCAUUGCCGAGCUUGAGAAAUUAGUAGAGAAGCUACAAAUGUUUGCUGCACAAAAGAGGCAACAGUCUGCUGAUGUUGGGAACUGUUAUUCAAAUAAAGAUUAUGACAUGGUAGUUGAUGGUUUUGGGACCACUAAUUCAGAGGAAGAUUAUGAGGUAUUACUUUCAUCUGUUGGGAAGUCAAAUUCUAAGAAAGAAUUACAAAUGCAAGGUGAUGAUGUUGAGAAGUCGAAUUUUGAGAAGGUUUUUGACAUUACACCUGAUGCUGAUGGAAAAAGUGUCCAUGAAGAGAGUGGUGAUGUUUUAGGUAAUGAAUAGAUGGAUAUUGAAAAAUCUAACAUGUACACGCGUUUAAAAGCUCAACCUAGGAAGCGUGUGAAAAGUCUAGCUUUGAAAACCCCUUGGACAAGGUUAGAUAGGAAAAAUGCCAGGCACUAAUCAAAUAAAGGGUAGGUGCGUUUCAUGGUUAAGCACUCACAUCUAUCCAUGGUUUCAGAUGAAGUCAGUAGUAUGCCUUAGGAUGGAGGGGUGGAAGCUGGUAUGCAACUAAGAAGUUCAGAAAGGAGCAAAUGAAAAUGCUAGGACAGAUUACACCUAGAAGAUGGCAAUUUCUUGGGAAGAUAAAACCUAAAGGGUUGCAAUUCCAAUUCCUUAGAAGGAACCUUACAAAACUCAAAUUAUCUGAUAGUGCCAUGAAAACAUCUAAGUCAAGUAUAAAGGAUGCAGCUACUACACAUGUUACUGGAAAAUCCAA